Molecule: long non-coding RNA, 303 nt
Filed under: Pectinophora gossypiella (pink bollworm)
Lineage: Eukaryota; Metazoa; Arthropoda; Insecta; Lepidoptera; Gelechiidae
Description: uncharacterized LOC126381217
Source: RNAcentral
UGCAGAUGGCAAUAAACUGUGUAGGAGUUCAUGAUUGCAAUAGAAUAAAAUCGACCAAGUCUGAAGUCAGCAGCCCCUUCAAUGAAUGCAGCAGUGUGACAGCCAACAAUCAAAAGUUACAAGAUAUCGAGGAAAUGCAGAAGGCAAAAAACUGCGUAGGAGAUCAUUAAUACAAAAGUAUUAUAUAAACCAAACCUGAUGUUGCCAGCUCCUUCAAUGAAUGCAGCAGUGUGACAGCCAGCAAUCAAAAGUAACAAGAUGUCGAGGAAAUGCAGAAGGCAAAAAACUGCGUAGGAGAUCAUU